This is a long non-coding RNA of Pygocentrus nattereri (red-bellied piranha), 1298 nucleotides long. The record is from Ensembl. Lineage: Eukaryota; Metazoa; Chordata; Actinopteri; Characiformes; Serrasalmidae.
GUAAAGAAUCAACAGGUAAGUUAUUGCUUAUAUGUUCCUUUAACACCUUUUGGUAUUAAUCAAUUCUCCCACAAAACACACUCUUAGAAUAAAAGGUAUGAAACUGUCACUGGGGCAUUCCCACUCUUGUAUCCUCAAGGGUACAUCUUAAUAACUUUAGUCAGGAAACAUAAUUGUGUCAUAAUCCAUUGAAAUUAUAGGAAAAAUCUAUUUAAGGCACACAAUUGGACCUUAAAACCACUGUUCUACCUUUGAGGGAACAUUAACAAUGUAUCUGCACAGAACCUUCAUUUCUAACAGUGUGGCGACCCUGCACCCACCAUUACACUUGUCAGUGUUAGUGAAAGUAACUCUGACCCUACUCUCCAUACCAUACCUUCUUUAUCAGUCCUGCAUUCUUCAUCUCUCCAAUCUCACACCUUCAGCCAAAAUCCCACCACAAUGAUAAAACUUUCUGUUAAAUUAUUCUGUGUAAAUUUAGCAACUGUAUAUUACCCAGGAAUCUGUCAUUCUAAUGUUGGCAUCUCAAAAUAUAGUCACAUCCAAAAUGUGUUUAUUGUAAUACUGUAUUUUCCAACAAGUAGAGCAUAAUUGUUUUGUAUUGGCAAAAUUGUUUUCAAAGAAAAAAUAAUGUAACUCUGCUUGUUUCUGUAAUCAUUAAUAAAAUUAUUGAAAACCUUAGAACAGAUCGUUUGUGUAGGACUUUUAGGAAUCUUUUUUAGGUUUGGACCUAUUGUAUAGUUUGUUCUCUUCAGCAAUUAGGGGACAUUAACUUCUGUCAUACCUGUUUGCCAUGUUAAAUGGAUAUGAUAUCUUUCACACAGGCCAAAACUCAACCACACCUCCCACGCAGCAAACCACCAUUGCAAAUUCCAGUAAAGACACAAACACCUCUGACUCCACAAGCACUGGGUCCAACAAUACAGCAGCCUCACCCUCAUCCAUUACACCUGACACAACAGAUACAAACACCUCUGACUCCACAAGCACUGGGUCCAACAAUACAGCAGCCUCACCCUCAUCCAUUACACCUGACACAACAGAUACAAACACCUCUGACUCCACAAGCACUGGGUCCAACAAUACAGCAGACUCACCCUCAUCCAUUACACCUGGCACAACAGACACAAACACCUCUGACUCCACAAGCACUGGGUCCAACAAUACAGCAGGCUCACCCUCAUCCAUUACACCUGACACAACAGGUAACAACACCAGCAAAUAUGACACAGAGCUCUUGUAAUAGAUUUUUGAUUUAUGGGGGCAAUCAGACCACAAACACCUUUUCCUUGGGAUGA